AUGACCUCAAAUCAGAUGAGACUACCCGCUGAACUUAAGCAUAUCUAAUGAUCCACAGUCCUUUGAUGGAGUAUCA
This 76-nucleotide ribosomal RNA is filed under the name uncultured Craterellus. Its description in RNAcentral is "partial 28S ribosomal RNA". The record is from RNAcentral. Lineage: Eukaryota; Fungi; Basidiomycota; Agaricomycetes; Cantharellales; Hydnaceae.